RNAcentral lists this long non-coding RNA (1382 nucleotides) under Ursus maritimus (polar bear). Its description in RNAcentral is "lncRNA (ENSUMAG00000006474.1)". The record is from RNAcentral. Lineage: Eukaryota; Metazoa; Chordata; Mammalia; Carnivora; Ursidae.
CUUCAUCGUCCCGUCAGGGGUGGCCCUGACCCUCCCGGCCUCUGCUGCCCUGGCUCUCACUGCCUGAGAUCAUGACCUUCUGCUUUCGAUGGGAGUUCCUUUCCACCUGACAGCCCUGAUGCUGGCCCUGGACUUAUCGCUGAGAUCCCAGGCCUCCGACUGGACGGAAACACCUGCUUCCCUGAGCGGCCCCGAAGGAGGUCACAGAGGAGCCUGCUGCCCCCAGGCUGGGGGAGGGAGACCACUGAGGGGAAGAGGAAAGAUCACACACCAGGCAACAACUGCAUACACAGGAGAGACACUAUGUCCGGACUGCAAUCGGGGGCCUUCUACAAGGGCCUGGGGCCCCUGGGAGCACCUGACCCCAUGCGAGGCUCCAGGUGAAGUGGGGGAGGGGCAGGAAGGCAAACACACACCUGCAGACCUGGGAGAAUGGCCACUCCAAGGGAUGGCCCCAGCCGAAUGGCCCGUCUCCUGGGGGCGCCUCUGAGCCCAGCUGGGAAACUGCAGUGGGACCCGCAUCCAAGACAGGGUGCAGCUGGCCACAGGGACCUGCCGGUGACACCCUCUAGCGCCCUCCACCAACCGGCAGUCAUAGCGCCCGGCCUGGGUCUCCGUGGUGUUGGGCAACAUCAGGCUGGUUCAAGAGCAGGUGUCCAGGAGUCACGGGAGUGAAGGGGCUGACCCUUCAAGAGCCCCCUGGGGGGGCCAGGUGGGAGAAGGGGCUGCAGGGCAGGUGGCACUGUGGCCCGCCACCGCUGUGACAUUCUACAUUGGGGUCUCUGGGAGGUAGGUGGUAGUCGGGUGCUUACAGAGUGUAGAGGCCCAAGGCCAAGCGCCUCCUCUCCACUCCCAUACCUCUUUGUCCACCUGCCCAACCACACACCCAUCUAUGCACCCAUUCACCACCACCCUCCCACCCAUUCACCCUUCCACCCAUCCCCCCAUCUGCCCACCCUCCCACAAAUGCAGGCAUCAUCCAGGAUUCAACCCCAGCUUCCCCAUCCAUGCAUCGGUGCGACUAUUCUCAGUCUAGCACUCAUUCUCCAAGCCCCAGCUCUGUGUCUCCUCCUCCAGGCAGCCCUCCGGACUCUUCAGACAGAGCACCUGCCUCAUGCCUGAUCCAAUGCAGCUGAGAGUGAAUGUGUCUGACUUGGCCUCCCCAGACUGGGGGCUCUUUGAGGGCCUGGGGCUGAAGCUCCUUGAGGGCCCAGCAACCGCAGUGGGGGGUGGGUACUGAGGAGAAGACCGGUGAUCUCUGUCCACAGCUUGUUGAAGAAUCAACCAGGCCUCUUCAUGGGGCAUAAUCUCCCCCAUCAGUAGAAAAGCCACUGUCAUAGGAGCCCAAUAAAAAGGCCACAGGAAAGGAAGGAAUUUGGGCU